CCAGGGCUCUGGGGGUUCCGGGGUCACGGCUCGGAUCCCCGAGCCAGGUUCGUGCGGAGCCGGCUCCUCCUUGUCCCCGCGCGGACGCGGCCCCCGCUGCUCCAGGUGCAGCUGCAGCAGGGCGCGGCGGUACAUGGCCUCCAGCUUCUCCAGCCGGGCUCGCAGGGCCCGCGGGCUGCCCGGCUCGUCCCCGGGGCCGCCGCCUCUAGCCCUGCGGUUCCUGCCGGCCUCCUCGGAGCCCGGGGUCGCCCUGGCCGCCUCCGCGGGCGCCCCGUCGGCGCCCUCGCCGGGGAGCCGCAAGGCCUGACGGAAGAGGCUGCGGUUCUCGCGCUUCAGCCGCCGGGCCUCCAGGUGGCUGGCGGCUAGGUCAGCGAACCGCUCCUCCAGCUGCUGGCGGCUGCCGCCCGCCCGGCCUCGCCAGCCCGCGCCGCUGCCGUCGCCGCCCCCGCGAACCCGGCCCGGGCGGCUCUGCCCGCCGCAGCAGCUCCCGCGCCUGCCGGCGCCAGCACGCAUGCGCC
RNAcentral lists this long non-coding RNA (518 nucleotides) under Equus caballus (horse). Its description in RNAcentral is "lncRNA (ENSECAG00000057723.1)". The record is from RNAcentral. Lineage: Eukaryota; Metazoa; Chordata; Mammalia; Perissodactyla; Equidae.